AAAUUUACAAAGCACCCAGGAUUCUACUAAUUGGACAAAUGAUAUAUAUUCAAAAGUCAAAGGACCUGAAAAAAGAGGACGUGUGCGUUGUCUUGGCAAGCUUCCACAUCAAGCAAGUUCAUCUCAAAGCUCUUAUACAAACAAUAGGAUUCAAAAGUUGGAGAAUUUGCUUGGAAACCUUGUAGUUGUGCUUAAAGUACGAUUUGCAGAAGAUCCACAAAUUAAUCAAGUCUUAGAAGCUAUAGAUCAAGAGGUACCUACAAAUGGUUCUACCAGUAAAGAUCAUCAAACUACAAACAAUCUUAACUAGAGGUGAGUUGAAAUUUAGAUGGUAAUGAAGAUGCGAGUCGGCGACAAAAUGUUAUUUCAGGAACAUGAUUUAGAUGGUAAUGAAGAUGUGAGUCGGCGACAAAAUGUUCAAGUGUUUGGUUUUUACUUUGUCUAUUUGUCCAACAACUCGAAUUAACUCUUUUAUACAUUUAGAAAUUUAGAAACUUGUUACAUUUUAGUGAUGAUUCCCUCCAUGUAAAGAGGGUCAUGGUGCACCAAAAAUAUACACUUAGGAAGGACUAUGCACAUGGUACUAAAAAACAAGGCAAAGUGAAUUGGAAAAUUUUCUAUAGCACUACUAAUGCUAGAUCAUUUCACAAUGACAAUGGAUCAAGGGCUGCAAUAUGUUAAAAAGCACACAAUCUAGUUACAAUAAUCACAAAUUAGGCUAACAAAAAUUUAAUUGUAUGUAGCAGGUUAUUGUAACUUUUCAAAGGUCAUGUUGCAGCAGAUCUCUAACUUUGUGCAGCAUAAUAAUAAGCUCAUGUAUAUUUAAUUAAAAAUUAUAAUCAACAAAGAGUGUAAUUAGGAACUAGUUUUAUUAUUAUUAUGACAUUUACCUACAGAAGACCGUAGGUACAAGUAAAUUGACUUUUACCUACAGUUAGAGAUUAUAGGUAUAAAUUAAUAUCUUUUACCUA
Molecule: long non-coding RNA, 971 nt
Organism: Glycine soja
Lineage: Eukaryota; Viridiplantae; Streptophyta; Magnoliopsida; Fabales; Fabaceae
Exons: 2
Source: RefSeq, a predicted model, not a curated record